AAAAAUGCCCAGUUUUGAACUAAUGCCAGUAGUGUUUGCGAUCUGGUUGAAUAAAUAUAAAAAUGAAAGUCCUUUUUAUUUUAUUGGUGGCUACCACCAUGUUAGCCAUAAAUCAAGCUGCAGAGCCAGACUGCGUGUGCUGGGAAGGGUUCAAUGUGGAAAAAGAGGGCAAUGACGUCUUCUGCAAAGGCGUAAAAAAUAAUAGAAAUUAUCCUUGUGGCACUGAAAAACCACCAAUUUGCACCUGUAUUGAAAAGGGAUCUGGCAAGGAAGUGACUUUGGAUCUUGGAGAAACGCAUUGUAUUGGAGAGGCUGGAAAAUACGAGGAUCUG
This is a long non-coding RNA of Aethina tumida (small hive beetle), 332 nucleotides long. RefSeq lists it as uncharacterized. The transcript is spliced from 2 exons. The record is from RefSeq and is a predicted model, not a curated record. Lineage: Eukaryota; Metazoa; Arthropoda; Insecta; Coleoptera; Nitidulidae.